Molecule: unclassified non-coding RNA, 362 nt
Filed under: uncultured Geomyces
Lineage: Eukaryota; Fungi; Ascomycota; Leotiomycetes; Myxotrichaceae
Description: sequence contains ITS2
Rfam family: 5.8S ribosomal RNA (bases 1-154)
Source: RNAcentral
AACUUUUGGCAAUGGAUCUCUUGGUUCUGGCAUCGAUGUAGAACGCAGCGAAAUGCGCUAAGUAAUGUGAAUUGCAGAAUUCAGUGAAUCAUCGAAUCUUUGAACGCACAUUGCGCCCCCUGGUAUUCCGGGGGGCAUGCCUGUCCGAGCGUCAUUACAACCCUCAAGCCUAGCUUGGUGUUGGGCCCCGCCGCCCCGGCGGGCCCUAAAGUCAGUGGCGGUGCCGGCCGGCUCCGAGCGUAGUAAUUCUUCUCGCUCUGGAGGCCCGGGUGUGUGCCUGCCAGCAACCCCCAAUUUUUUAGGUUGACCUCGGAUCAGGUAGGGAUACCCGCUGAACUUAAGCAUAUCAAUAAGCGGAGGCU